CUGUUGUAUAUUUAACCUCCACACCAUAUUUCAUGCAAUAAGAAUGCAUAUCAGCUCUUGAGCAGCCAGAUUUGGAAAUCAUGGCUCUCCAGUCAUGGGAAAAGGACAGCGUAAGGAACAGCAGCAUACAUGCAUUUUCCUUCACUGCUGUCACAAAGAUUUUUACUUCAGGACCUGGCAGAGCUUUACUUGCUGCAUUUAUCAUGGUGAGCUCAAUUCCUGGUCACAGAGUCAGGUCAUACACAGAAAUCCACGUACUGUCAAUGGAAGUUCAGCACCAGAUUAAGGACAAGAGACUCUUCAAUUAAGAUGAAAUGAGUGGGCGACUUCAACUCAUCAUGGUUUCUGCAGGUGGAAACAGAAGAUGUGAUCCUUGAGGUAUCCUGGUGAAUUCUGUAAAUGGCAAAGAAAAUGGAUGGCCUCUCUACCUAUUUAUACAUGACUGUUUGCCAUUCACUCUUCUCUUAUCCCUGCAGAGUACCUCCCCUCCCUACAGUUUUGGACCACUGAAUUUUUGAUGCUGCUCAUUUCCCCUCCAGCAGAUAUAAACUAAUCUAAUCCUGGGAGUAUAUAGCUUCUUUUUUAUUUUACUUUUUGCCAGGAAUAAUAACCUUGACUUUUUCAUUUUUCUCAUCGCAUCUAAUAUUGAUUGGAAUUGCAAAAGUAAAUGAAGUUGUUGCACAGUUAAAACAGAAUUGCACCAGGCUGUAACUAAUAAUAGCUCAGAACCAAAGUAAGUUACAAUGAAUUACUUUGAUGGGUGGCGUGAAGGAAAUGCACAGUGUAUAGGGGUGUGAAACUUCAUUUAACCUUUCUCUAAUUAGAUAAUGAUAGUAGGAAAAAGUGAAAGAAAUAUGUUAAAAAGAGUUCUAUGAGGUUUCAGAAUUUCAGUGUCAAUAUCUUCAGUGUCCACACAGAUGAUCCAGAGGGAUCUAAUUUUCUUUCACCGAGUUGAUAAUAGGGUUGUUGCUAUGGUAUUGUUAUUUGAAUUUGCUCGCUUGUGCUUCUCUGAAGCUGUGGAAUUGGCUUAUCCCUGCUGUUUGAACAAAUAUUGGGCCAUCAUGCUGCAAAGAAAAGCAAAAUGCUGUAACUGUAAACAGUUUAGUUGACAUUUUUGUCUCCAGUAAAAUUUUUUUCUCCUUACACUAAUCUAAAUAUAGUAUAUCCAU
RNAcentral lists this long non-coding RNA (1169 nucleotides) under Anser brachyrhynchus (Pink-footed goose). RNAcentral's name for it is "lncRNA (ENSABRG00000006753.1)". Lineage: Eukaryota; Metazoa; Chordata; Aves; Anseriformes; Anatidae. The record is from RNAcentral.